This 253-nucleotide ribosomal RNA is filed under the name uncultured bacterium. RNAcentral describes it as "partial 16S ribosomal RNA". It matches the Rfam family "Bacterial small subunit ribosomal RNA", at positions 524 to 776 of the family's 1533-position model. The record is from RNAcentral.
GACGAACCGUGCAAACGUUGUUCGGAAUCACUGGGCUUAAAGGGCGCGUAGGCGGGUCGUCAAGUCCGGGGUGAAAUCUUUCGGCUCAACCGGAAAAGUGCCUCGGAUACUGGCGGCCUGGAGGGAGGUAGGGGCAUGCGGAACUUCCGGUGGAGCGGUGAAAUGCGUUGAUAUCGGAAGGAACGCCGGUGGCGAAGGCGGCAUCCUGGACCAAUAUUGACGCUGAGGAGCGAAAGCCAGGGGAGCAAACGGG